UUUUGAUCCUGCCAUUAUUCAUAUGCUUGUCUCAAAAAUUAACCCUUGCAUGUCUAAUUACAACCCUCACUAAGGUGAAACCGCAAAUGGCUCAUUAAAUCAUACCUAAUGUACUGGACAGUCUCAUUUACUUGAAUAACUGCGGUAAUUCUGGACCUAAUACAUGCGUACUACCCGCGACUCACGGAGCGGUGCUUUUAUUAAAUCAAAACCAAACGGCCUCAACCCGUCCCCCUGGUGAUUCUGAAUAACUUUGGGCUGAUCGCACGGACUCUUUCCGGCAACUUGUCCUUCCAAGGUGUGCCCUAUCAACUGUCGACUGUGGCAUAAACCCCCACAGUGUUUUUGACGGGUAACGGGAAAUUAGGGUUCAAUUCCGGAAAGGGAGCCUGAGAAACGGCUACCACUUCUACGGAAGGCACCAGGCACCCAAAUUACCCACUGGCCGCAGGCCGAGGUAGUGACAAAAAAUAACGAUACCGAACUCUUCCAAGGCCCGGUAUUCGAAAUGAUUACACUUUAAUUCCUUUAACGAGGACCAAUU
This 544-nucleotide ribosomal RNA is filed under the name uncultured eukaryote. RNAcentral's name for it is "bacterial SSU rRNA". It matches the Rfam family "Eukaryotic small subunit ribosomal RNA", at positions 1 to 549 of the family's 1831-position model. The record is from RNAcentral.